Molecule: long non-coding RNA, 258 nt
Filed under: Gossypium raimondii (Peruvian cotton)
Lineage: Eukaryota; Viridiplantae; Streptophyta; Magnoliopsida; Malvales; Malvaceae
Description: long non-coding RNA (GRAI_LNC008245)
Source: RNAcentral
GCAAAACGAUUGUUUGUCAGAACAACACAAUGGAACCGAAACAGAUUAUAGGAAUAAAAUAAAAAAGAAACACAAGAAAAAAUUAAAAAAGAAAGAAAAAGAAAAAUUGUGCUAGAGAAAAAGCUUUGCAUAAAAUAUUCUCUAGAAAGAAAUUUGGGAAAAAAUGGAAACAAAAAGGGAUUGGGAUGUGAAAGAGAGAGUGUGGGUAAGUGGGAAAAGGAUGGUUAGGAAGAGAAGAAUCAAGAGAAAAUCCCUUAU